UGGCUUCUAGGGACAGACGAUGGCUAACAGGAUCUGCAAGAACGAGUAGAUUUUCUCCGAGGGAGAAAUGGGCAGAAGACAUCUCAAGAAGAGGGACCGCAGCUUUGCUCCGAGGACCAGCCUCUGACCUGCUCCCUCCUGAUUUCUCAAUUCCUGACAACUCUGGAGGGAACUGUAUCCCUGCAAGGUUCAUAGGCAGGACCAAGUGAUGUCAUGGGAACCUGCAGAUGGCUCUGUCCUCUUCUUUGGCUGGUGCUGAGAAAACUGAUCUUUGCAAUGAAAAAAAAGCACCCAUUUUGGAGGAAUUGUGCUGGCACCCGGACUGACGAUACCUCAUCCCUUGCUGGCUUCAUACAAGGCCUCACUUCUUCUGCUGAAUAGGAAAAUCUGGACACUGUCACAACACACUGGUUUGUUCAUAAAGAAAUGCUGGGGUCAAAUACUCUUGGAGAGGAAAGAAUGCAUUUUGGAUAACGUUGUAAAUAUGGUUAACUUUAUUGAAGCGAGAUCAGCUCAAUGGAGAAUGUUU
Long non-coding RNA from Dipodomys ordii (Ord's kangaroo rat), 529 nucleotides. RefSeq lists it as uncharacterized. The transcript has 4 exons. NCBI's taxonomy places the organism in Eukaryota, Metazoa, Chordata, Mammalia, Rodentia, Heteromyidae. The record is from RefSeq and is a predicted model, not a curated record.